RNAcentral lists this ribosomal RNA (253 nucleotides) under uncultured bacterium. RNAcentral describes it as "partial 16S ribosomal RNA". It matches the Rfam family "Bacterial small subunit ribosomal RNA", at positions 524 to 776 of the family's 1533-position model. The record is from RNAcentral.
UACGGAGGGGGCGAGCGUUAUUCGGAAUUAUUGGGCGUAAAGGGCGCGUAGGCGGCUUGGUAAGUCAAAGGUGAAAUCCCUCGGCUCAACUGAGGAAUUGCCUUUGAAACUGCCUGGCUCGAGGCCGGGAGGGGGUAGCGGAAUUCCCAGUGUAGCGGUGAAAUGCGUAGAUACUGGGAGGAACACCAGUGGCGAAGGCGGCUACCUGGACCGGUUCUGACGCUGAGGCGCGAAAGCGUGGGUAGCAAACAGG